AUGCAAGCGUGUGUUGAAUCCCAUAGCAACCCUCUCCUCUUCAUGGUAUCAGAGACCACCGCCCGGAUCAAUCCCUUUGCUCCGGCCGUCGAUCCCGCUUCCGCCGCUAUGGGCGACCCCGACUCCCCCGAGACUACGGCCUCUGACGACUCUGGCGCUCCCACCGUCGUUGCGCCGUCUCCGUCCCCUCCUGCUCUGCUUCCAGCCGCCCUCUCCGCCGACGCUGCUGCCGCGGCUGGCUCUGUUGCUGCCCCGCCUGCUGCCCCGCCGCCCGUGGUCACCGUCGCUUCGUCUGUUCUCCAGACCAUCGACAUUCGCCGCCACGUCCCUGUCACUCUUGACUUGCUCGCCGGCAACUACGCGCAGUGGCGGCGCCACUUCGACACCGCGAUCGGGAUGUUCGGUCUCCGCGAUCAUGUGGACGCCGUCGCCGUCCCGCGCUUCGAUGACCCUGACUGGGCGAUGGCGGACCACGCCGUUGUCCACUGGCUCAACACCACCGUUGCGCCUGAUCUGCUGGACGCUGUGAUGGCGCAGGAGGACACCGCCCUCACCGUCUGGACGGCCAUCGACGACAUCUUCCGGGACAAUCAACUUGCCCGGGCCGUCUACAUUGACGCCGAGUAUCACGCCGUGGUGCAAGGCGAUCUGACGAUCAUGCAGUACUGCACCAAGUUGAAGGUGUACGCUGAUCAGCUCCGGGACCUCGGCCAGCCGAUGACGGAGCCGCGGCAGGUCUUCCAUCUACUGCGCGGCCUCACCGCCAGUUCCACGGCGCCAUCCCGCACAUCACGGCGCAGUCGCCGCUGCCGUCGCUUCUCCAGACGCGCUCCUUCCUCCUUCUCGAAGAGCACCGGAACGAGCAGACCGCGCGCCUCCAGGGCGCGCACGCGCUCUUCGCCGGGCGUGGCGCCAGGCCGCCCCCUUCCUCCCCACCUGCUGCCCCCCUGCCGUGCCUGA
This 960-nucleotide ribosomal RNA is filed under the name Triticum aestivum (bread wheat). RNAcentral describes it as "partial small subunit ribosomal RNA". The record is from RNAcentral. Lineage: Eukaryota; Viridiplantae; Streptophyta; Magnoliopsida; Poales; Poaceae.